AAAGUGCUGAGAUUACAGGCGUGAGCCACCGCACCCACCUCACAGGUUGUUUUUUAACAAGGAUUAAAGUGGAAGAGGAUUAAAAUGAGACAUCUGUGGGACCUGCUUAGGCUGGGGCUCAGGAUGUGCAGUGAUUAUUCCGCACCGUGGUGAUGGUGGCAGUGGUCAUCGUUCCUAUGGUGAGUCCUGAAAAGAGCGUUGAUUUUCUGAAGACAGGAACAUGUCUUCUGUCUCAGUCUUCUCUGCCCUCCCGCCCACUCCUACUCCCCCGCCCCGCCGACCCCGACCCCGCCCCAGUGCCCUGCAGAGGGAGCCUGCUGGGCAUGGGUAGAGAGCCCAUGAGAACCUGGUGCAGGUGGAAGGAAAGGGGACCCCACAGGGAAGGUAGAAGGGCCAGGGCUUUCCCCAGCAGUGGCCAGAUCUGAACAGAGAUGACUCUGUGUUGCUGUGGCCACUCCAGACCCCAGACCGCAGCCUGAUAUCCAAGCUCCCGAGGGAGCAGAAUGCAUCAGCCACCUCAGAGAGGAGGCGCAGCCCAGUCAGGGCCCCACGUUGUCACGGCUCCAGCUGUCCUCAGGAGGGAAACUGUCUUGCAAGCCUGGAGACUUCUGGUUGCUUCUCGGAGGAAAGGUAGCAUCUCCCUUCCUUUCUGGGAAACAAACAUUCCCGAGUACCAACUGCGUGCCAGGCCCAUUGCUAGCUGCAAUCUUAGGCGAGUCCCAAACCUCUCUGAGACUUGGGCCUGUCAUCUGGAAACAGAGUAGUCUAUAAAAGAUUGACUUCAAAGGGCUGUGAGGACAGUCAAAGAGACCAUAAAGCACAGAGCUUGGGCAGGGGUGGGCAUUCAGGAGAGGUGGUGGCCCCUUCCCCUGUGCCUGCCCCUGGGAAACCCUGUCCCCUACCUGGCUGGCAGCACAGGAGACGUGGAGAAGGGACAACCCGGUCUGGGGACGGGGCGGUUUCUCCAGGCUGGGCUGCCACUGUCUUCCUUCCCUGUGUGGGUGGUGGCUCAGGGCCUGGUGGUCUGCCACAAAGGUCCAGAAGGUCCACCCUUUCUGGUGGCUGGGGGUGGCAGUCAGGGGCUUCAGGACAAGCCUCUGGCUGCUGUGGCCCCCUACCCUUCCUCUGCACCUUGGGAGCCCCAGCCCCUGGGCUGUCUGAGUCUAUGCUAACAAAGUAGGAGCCAGAAACGUUCCUUUAGACACAGGUCACUGUGAGCCUUGGCUAAGCCUGGGGACCUCUUCUCGGCCCUGGCUACGGCCCAGAUGCCCACCCUGAACCUUCCACGAGUCAGGGCAGGCACCAUUUCCCCAGGACCAGCUGAGCAGUAAAGUCUCUUCUGGUUUAUCUGGAGGAAGGAAAAUGACGUCAUGAGGUAAACCGCACAGCCUGAAACCACGAGGCUGGGCGCCCCAGUGAUGUUUGCUUUUCAGCAAAAGUCACCAUGCACACAGAGGGACAGGGAGCCCAGGCCAUUGUGGUCAGAGGGUCAGGGGGAAGACAGAGGGAGAUUUUUUAACACGGAACCACAAGGAAGGAGAGGCCCCCGGAGAGGACGGACGUCAGAGGCCAGAGGGCGGCUUCCUGGGGUGCUGUGAGAGACUUGUCACCUGCUGGGUGGGGCAGUCUCUGCUGGUGUCUCACGAGGUCUCGGGCUUGGCACCUGAGGCAUGCAAAGUCACGUUUGCCAUGGCGGGCACAAUAAUAGUGGCAAGAAUAAUAAUAUCGAUAACGCAUCCUGACCAUGUGUCUCUGUAGCCCUGUCACCUCCUCACCACCGUCCCAUAAGACGGGACCCUGCGAGGCAGACGCAGCCUGCACACAGAGGAGGGAGGGGAGGCUGCUGGGGCUCCGGCCUGUGCUUUCGCCUCCAGACCAUGGAGCUUCUUCACCCACAUGCUGGGUGCCGUCCAGCCUGAGGCCUGUGUGCAGGGUCCCGGUUUCAAGCCCCGAUUCCCACCUGCUAACUGUGACCCAGGAAGCCCCACCCCCCGCAGCCCUCAGUUUCUUCACCUGCCAAACUCCCUGCCUUCGAGGUCCCGCUGGGGCUCAGCUGCCCAACUCUGAUCAGAAAGAAGAGCUGUAAGUCUGGCUGGGCGGUGGCUCAUGCCUCUAAUCCCAGCACUUUGGGAGGCCAAAGAGGAUGGACUGCUUGAGCCCAGGAGUUCGGGACCAGCCUGGGUAAUGUGGCGAAACCCUGUCUCUACAAAAAAUACAAAAAUUAGCCAGAUGUGGUGAUGUGCGGCUGUAGUCCCAGCUACUCAGGAGGCUGAGGUGGGAGGAUCACUUGAGGCCAGGAGGUCAAGGCUGCCAUGAGCUAAGAUCACAACACUGCAUUCCGGCCUGGGUAACAGAGCAAGACCAUGUCUCUAAGAGAGGGGGGAAAAAAAGCCAUGGGUGUCUAAGCUGCAAGGCCCCCCAAAUCCCUGAAUCCCACUAACCAUCUCCCAAGUGAGUAGAGGGAGGCCAAGAGAGGGCAAGCAGCUGUCUCAUGUCUUCCCUGAAGGAACCCUCUCAUGGGACAGCUGGACACAGCCAGGCGGGAAGGACUCUUCACCAGCCCCGUCUCCAUAGUCCCGGCUGCCAUCACUGCUGGCAUCGACACUGACCCUCCAGCUCCAGCACCAGGUCACCACCCUGCCCCUCAUCCAUCCUCCUCCUCCACGCGUGAUGAAUGAGCUUUUCUCAUUCAAUCAUUCUCAGGGGCAGCAUAGCGUGGCCAGUAGGAAGGAGGAUGCGGGAGCCAGCCUGCCUGGCUCCACCACCCACCAGCUGCUUUUAUUCCCUGCCUGCUCUAGUUCCCUGGCUGUAAAAUGGGGAUACAAAUAAUAUCUUCCUCAUCAGGUCACUGGGAGGCUUAAAUAAGCCCAUACUGUAAAGUGCUUAGAACAGGGCCUGCCACGUAGUAAGUACUCCAUAAUUGCUAUCAUUCAUCCAUUCAUUCAUUCAUUCAUUCAUUCGUGAAUUCUAUCCUGCCUGUUUCUGAAAGAGUUGAGAUGACUCACAGUGGAAAUGCAAUGAUAACAGGCCUUUAAAUUCAGAUUAAAAGAACACAAGCCUAGGCUGCAGAGGAGAGAGUGUCCCAGAAUCUGAGCCAAGCAAGCCUCACCUGAAUACAACCUCCCGGCGUCUCAUCCAAAACAUAAAGGUUGCUGGUAUCAAUUCUCCUUUUCUGAUGAAAGGAAGCAUAACAGCUUUCCAGCGGAAUAGAAGAUUUUUUUUUGGUUCAAACUUUAUGAAUGACAUUAAACAAUGCAAUGAGUAGCCUCCCCCUCACCUCACCCUGUCCGCCUUUUUAAUCAACUCCUGAGAAAUGGGGUCUGCUCUUCUUCCCAUCCCACUCCCCAUCUCCAGACCCUGCGGAAGCCUGUGGUCCUGGAGAGCCUGAGAGCCCUCAGAGCGAUACCUUCAGCUAUCCCAGGAGAAGGACACUCUUCGCUUUCAGCACCAGGGGAAAACUAGGAAAAAGCCAAGCCACUGAGUCAAUGAGGGCCUUCCCUCAGCUGCAGACAGCAAGCCCCUUCCAGGCGCUUCCCCGCAGCUACGGCAGCAAGUGCCCCAGGGGCAGGGCCGGGAAUGCUCACUGAGAAAUCCCAGAGCUGCCUGCACUUCCUCUCACCGGCUUCCCCUUCUCUCAGCAGCCACAGGCACGGGAAAGCUGCUGAUUCCCGGAGGACCACUUACACCAAGCACUGUGAGCUGAUCGAUGGCAGAGUCUCUCCAGCUCAUGAGUCUUCAGUGACUCCCCAUUGUCCAUGGAAAACAGAAGACACCUGAGGCCUUGCACAGUGGACCUUAUUCUCAUCCCUCCCUCAGGAGAAUCCUCUGCCUCGAGCCGAAGGCCGUGGGCUCUGCAGACUCCAGGCCUCUCCUUCCCAGGGCGGUCUUCCCUUUCCCUAUGCUCAAGGCACAGCCCAAGUCCCACCUCCUCCAUUGCAAGGGACACCACCCUCUGAAUUCCUGUUGGGGAAAGAGCCUAGUUUUGCAGCCAGAUAGGCCCGAGUUAGAGUCUCAGCUCAGUUCCAAUCCCAUUAGCUGGUUGCAAGUCAUUAACUUUGUCAACCUUCAGUAAAUGGAAAUCAGGCCCACACUGUAGGUGCCUGGGGGUGCUGAUGGUUGAGUGGAAUCUGUUCUUUUGACCUUCCCAGCAUCUUUCCCCUUCCCAGCAUCCUUUCCCCUUUCUUUUGGUGAUGUCGCCUGGAUUUUCUGUUGGGUAUGUGGUCCAGGGGUGGCUGACCUCACUUCCUGGUUCCAGCAUAAGAUCAUGACUGAGAGCUGGCCAAUGAGAAUAUUCCCUCGCCCCAGCCACAGAGUCAGAUUCCCGGGGAUGAACUUGUGAGUCAAAACAGGCUGGUGGGAACACACUUGGGGUGUUAGCUGGAGUUAUUGAAGCUUUCUUUCCCACUGGAGUCACUAGGUAGAUAGAAGGAAAGCUGAAGCCUUUAGCCACUGCUGUGGGUUGAAGUGUGUACCCCAAAAAGAUAUGUUCAAAUUCUAAUCCCCUGCACCUUUGGAGGUGGCCUUGUUUGGAAAAAGGGUCUUUGCAGAUGUAGGCAAGUGAAGAUGAAGCCAUCCUGGAUCAGGGUGGCUUGUGGCUUGUGUCCAAUGCCUUGUGUCCUUCUAAGAAGAGAGAAAUCGAGACACAGACACACACAGGGAAAAGGCCGAGUGAUGACAGCAGCAGAGAUGGGAGCGCGGCAGCUACAAGCUGAGGGAUGCCAAGCAUGGCUGGCACCACCCAGGAGCCUGGAGAGAGGGAGGGGACAGCCUCCUCCUUAGAGCCUCGAAACACCCUACCCACAUCCUGGCUUCAGACUUCCAGCCUGCACAACUGGGAGAGAAUCACUUUCUGCUGUGUUAAGCUACACUAGUUCAUGGUGAUUUGUUACAGCAGCUGCAGGAAAUGAACACAGACACCAAAUGGAGAUACUGUGUCUGAGAUUGAAGCCAGCACCGUGGAAUCAGAGCUGCCAGGAGGGAGACGUGGACUCUCGACCCUGUGGCCACACUUGGUUCCCCCAGCAGCUGAAGCACGAAGUCUACUGGACUUACUAGACUUUCCAGUUACCUGGACCAAUAUAUUCUCUGUUUUACUUAAGCUGUUUCGAUUGGAUUUCUGGCUAUUUCAACUGAGAGAGGCCUAACUCUCAGUUAUACAGAGACAAUGGAUGUAAAAUGCAUUGAAGGCCAGGCACAGUGGCUCGCGCCUGUAAUCCCAACACUUUGGAAAGCCAAGGCAGGAGGAUGGCUUGAGCCCAGGAGUACGAGACCAGCCUGGGAGACGUGGCAAAACGAAACCCCGUUUCUACAAAAAAAUACAUUAAACCAUUUUAAAAAGAAAAUAUAAAAUGUAUUGCAUGCUGCCUGGCCAAUGGGAGACAGUGGAGUGAAUGUAGGAAGUAGUUAGUAGAGUAAAUGGUAUUUAUU
RNAcentral lists this long non-coding RNA (5427 nucleotides) under Homo sapiens (human). RNAcentral's name for it is "HSALNT0029269". The record is from RNAcentral. Lineage: Eukaryota; Metazoa; Chordata; Mammalia; Primates; Hominidae.